AGUGAACGCUGGCGGUAGGCCUAACACAUGCAAGUCGAACGGCAGCACAGUAAGAGCUUGCUCUUACGGGUGGCGAGUGGCGGACGGGUGAGGAAUACAUCGGAAUCUACUUUUUCGUGGGGGAUAACGUAGGGAAACUUACGCUAAUACCGCAUACGACCUACGGGUGAAAGCAGGGGAUCUUCGGACCUUGCGCGAUUGAAUGAGCCGAUGUCGGAUUAGCUAGUUGGCGGGGUAAAGGCCCACCAAGGCGACGAUCCGUAGCUGGUCUGAGAGGAUGAUAGGCCACACUGGAACUGAGACACGGUCCAGACUCCUACGGGAGGCAGCAGUGGGGAAUAUUGGACAAUGGGCGCAAGCCUGAUCCAGCCAUACCGCGUGGGUGAAGAAGGCCUUCGGGUUGUAAAGCCCUUUUGUUGGGAAAGAAAAGCAGCAGGUUAAUACCCAGCUGUUGUGACGGUACCCAAAGAAUAAGCACCGGCUAACUUCGUG
RNAcentral lists this ribosomal RNA (492 nucleotides) under uncultured bacterium. RNAcentral's name for it is "partial 16S ribosomal RNA". It matches the Rfam family "Bacterial small subunit ribosomal RNA", at positions 29 to 507 of the family's 1533-position model. The record is from RNAcentral.